GACGAACGCUGGCGGCGUGCUUAACACAUGCAAGUCGAACGGAGUUACGUAUGAAGUAUUUCGGUACGGACUAUGUAACUUAGUGGCGAACGGGUGAGUAACACGUGGGCAACCUGCCCUUAACCGGGGGAUAACAUUGUGAAAACAGUGCUAAUACCGCAUAACAGAGUAUCGGGCAUCCGAUAUUUUUAAAAGGAGCAAUCCGGUUUAGGAUGGGCCCGCGUCCAAUUAGCUAGUUGGUGAGGUAACGGCUCACCAAGGCUACGAUUGGUAGCCGAACUGAGAGGUUGAUCGGCCACAUUGGGGCUGGAGACACGGCCCAGACUCCUACGGGAGGCAGCAGUGGGGAAUAUUGGGCAAUGGGCGAAAGCCUGACCCAGCGACGCCGCGUGAAGGAUGAAGGUCUUCGGAUUGUAAACUUCUUUUGAUCAGGGAAGAAAGAAAUGACGGUACCUGAAGAACAAGCCACGGCUAACUACGUG
RNAcentral lists this ribosomal RNA (482 nucleotides) under uncultured bacterium. RNAcentral describes it as "bacterial SSU rRNA". It matches the Rfam family "Bacterial small subunit ribosomal RNA", at positions 28 to 507 of the family's 1533-position model. The record is from RNAcentral.